RNAcentral lists this ribosomal RNA (402 nucleotides) under uncultured bacterium. Its description in RNAcentral is "bacterial SSU rRNA". It matches the Rfam family "Bacterial small subunit ribosomal RNA", at positions 360 to 773 of the family's 1533-position model. The record is from RNAcentral.
AAUAUUGCGCAAUGGGCGGAAGCCUGACGCAGCGACGCCGCGUGGGGGAUGACGGCCUUCGGGUUGUAAACCUCUUUCAGCAGGGACGAAGCGGAAGUGACGGUACCUGCAGAAGAAGCACCGGCCAACUACGUGCCAGCAGCCGCGGUAAUACGUAGGGUGCAAGCGUUGUCCGGAAUUACUGGGCGUAAAGAGUUGCGUAGGUGGCAGUGUAAGUCUGUAGUGAAAGCGUGUGGCUCAACCACAUACACAUUAUGGAAACUGCACAGCUAGAGGAUGAGAGAGGUUAUUGGAAUUCCCAGUGUAGGAGUGAAAUCCGUAGAUAUUGGGAGGAACACCGAUGGCGUAGGCAGAUAACUGGCUCAUUCCUGACACUAAGGCACGAAAGCGUGGGGAGCAAAC